GAUGGAGCGUACUUCGUCGGGUUGAAAGUCCUUCAUUCUACUGAGAAUGCAACAUUCUCGUAUGGCUUCUGCAUCCCACGACUUGAAGUAAUUGAAAUGGACCAGUGCAUCCUGCAGGACAUCCCAUUCUUCCAUCAAAUAGCAACGCAAAGUCUCGUCGAACUUGUCGCGAGGGGAAAAGGAGUGGUAACUGGUUAAUAACUGCCUCGUUAAAUAGCGAUAGGAAAAAUGAACUGCAGUUGGAAAUGAAAUGACUAGAUUCUUAUGAACCUCUAGGGUUCUUCUGUUAACCACUCGAUGAACUCCAGGACGAGCCUGACAGUUGCUCGGAAGAGGUAGAUUCCUCUCAGUCUGGCAAGGUACACCAGAAUCAUGGUGGAAGCAACAAUUGGACUCACCGCAACGCACGACCACGAGGCAACGGACAAAACAAGUAUUAACAACACUUUUGCAAGAAGAGACUGCAUUGCAACCAUUUAAUCCGAAGCAGCUUGGU
This is a long non-coding RNA of Hylaeus volcanicus, 496 nucleotides long. RefSeq lists it as uncharacterized. The transcript has 4 exons. Lineage: Eukaryota; Metazoa; Arthropoda; Insecta; Hymenoptera; Colletidae. The record is from RefSeq and is a predicted model, not a curated record.